AGUGAACGCUGGCGGCAGGCCUAACACAUGCAAGUCGAGCGGAAGAAGGGAGCGUGCUCGUGGAUACAGCUGCGGACGGGCGAGUGAUGCCGAGGAACCUGGCUGGUUGCUUGUGCGAACGGCCGAAAACGGGCGCAAAUACGCUAUUCGUGCAGAGGGCGAACGGGGGGGAUCAUGGGACCUUCGGCCAUCAGAUGAGCCGAUGUCGGAUUAGCUAGUUGGUGGGGUAAAGGCCUACCAAGGCGACGAUCCGUAGCUGGUCUGAGAGGAUGAUCAGCCACACUGGAACUGAGACACGGUCCAGACUCCUACGGGAGGCAGCAGUGGGGAAUAUUGGACAAUGGGCGCAAGCCUGAUCCAGCCAUGCCGCGUGUGUGAAGAAGGUCUUCGGAUUGUAAAGCCCUUUUAGUUGGGAAGAAGAGCAGUAAGUUAAUACCUUGCUGUUUUGACGUUACCAACAGAAUAAGCACCGGCUAACUUCGUG
RNAcentral lists this ribosomal RNA (484 nucleotides) under uncultured bacterium. RNAcentral describes it as "partial 16S ribosomal RNA". It matches the Rfam family "Bacterial small subunit ribosomal RNA", at positions 29 to 507 of the family's 1533-position model. The record is from RNAcentral.